RNAcentral lists this ribosomal RNA (418 nucleotides) under marine sediment bacterium ISA-7331. RNAcentral describes it as "bacterial SSU rRNA". It matches the Rfam family "Bacterial small subunit ribosomal RNA", at positions 60 to 526 of the family's 1533-position model. The record is from RNAcentral.
AGUCGAGCGCACCUUCGGGUGAGCGGCGGACGGGUUAGUAACGCGUGGGAAUAUGCCCUUCACUACGGAAUAGCCAUUGGAAACGAUGAGUAAUACCGUAUACGCCCUUCGGGGGAAAGAUUUAUCGGUGAAGGAUUAGCCCGCGUCUGAUUAGAUAGUUGGUGGGGUAACGGCCUACCAAGUCGACGAUCAGUAGCUGGUUUGAGAGGAUGAUCAGCAACACUGGGACUGAGACACGGCCCAGACUCCUACGGGAGGCAGCAGUGGGGAAUCUUAGACAAUGGGCGCAAGCCUGAUCUAGCCAUGCCGCGUGAGUGACGAAGGCCUUAGGGUCGUAAAGCUCUUUCGCCAGGGAUGAUAAUGACAGUACCUGGUAAAGAAACCCCGGCUAACUCCGUGCCAGCAGCCGCGGUAAUAC